Molecule: ribosomal RNA, 513 nt
Filed under: uncultured bacterium
Lineage: Bacteria
Description: bacterial SSU rRNA
Rfam family: Bacterial small subunit ribosomal RNA
Source: RNAcentral
AGAGUUUGAUCAUGGCUCAGGACGAACGCUGGCGGCGUGCCUAACACAUGCAAGUCGAACGGGACCAGGGGCAACUCUGGUUCAGUGGCGGACGGGUGCGUAACACGUGAGGAACAUGACUUUCGGUGGGGGAUAGCCGGCCCAACGGCCGGGUAAUACCGCGUACGACCUCUCGGGGACAUCCCCGGUUGGUGAAAGCAGCAAUGCGCCGAAAGAGUGCCUCGCGGCCUAUCAGCUAGUUGGUGGGGUAACGGCCCACCAAGGCGACGACGGGUAGCUGGUCUGAGAGGAUGGCCAGCCACAUUGGGACUGAGACACGGCCCAGACUCCUACGGGAGGCAGCAGUGGGGAAUAUUGCGCAAUGGGCGAAAGCCUGACGCAGCGACGCCGCGUGUGGGAUGACGGCCUUCGGGUUGUAAACCACUGUCGGGAGGGACGAAUGCGCCGCAAGGCGAGUGACGGUACCUCCAAAGGAAGCACCGGCUAACUCCGUGCCAGCAGCCGCGGUAAUAC